CAGCCGCGGAAUUCCAGCUCCAAUAGCGUAUAUUAAAGUUGCUGCAGUUAAAAAGCUCGUAGUUGAAUUUCGGGACCAUCAUGUCGGUCGUGCCUCGGUACGUACUGGCAUUGUUGGUUUCUCCCUUCUGACGAACCAUGAUGUCAUUUAUUUGGUGUUGUGGGAAAUCAGGACUGUUACUUUGAAAAAAUUAGAGUGUUUAAAGCAGGCUCACGCUUGAAUACAUUAGCAUGGAAUAAUGAAAUAGGACGUUUGAUUCUAUUUUGUUGGUUUCUAGGAUCGACGUAAUGAUUAAUAGGGAUAGUUGGGGGCAUUAGUAUUCAAUUGUCAGAGGUGAAAUUCUUGGAUUUAUUGAAGACUAACUACUGCGAAAGCAUUUGCCAAGGAUGUUUUCAUUAAUCAAGAACGAAAGUUAGGGGAUCGAAGACGAUCAGAUACCGUCGUAGUCUUAACCAUAAACUAUGCCGACUAGGGAUCGGAUGAUGUUAAUUUUUUAAUGACUCAUUCGGCGCCUUACG
RNAcentral lists this unclassified non-coding RNA (518 nucleotides) under uncultured Glomeromycotina. RNAcentral describes it as "SSU rRNA". It matches the Rfam family "Eukaryotic small subunit ribosomal RNA", at positions 571 to 1092 of the family's 1831-position model. Lineage: Eukaryota; Fungi; Glomeromycota. The record is from RNAcentral.